Long non-coding RNA from Zingiber officinale, 2317 nucleotides. RefSeq lists it as uncharacterized. The record is from RefSeq and is a predicted model, not a curated record. NCBI's taxonomy places the organism in Eukaryota, Viridiplantae, Streptophyta, Magnoliopsida, Zingiberales, Zingiberaceae. The transcript has 2 exons.
UUUAGAAAACCGCAGUUGUGUGCCCUUCGACGGCGGCGGCGGCGGCAGCGGCAGCGAUGGACAAGGCCGUAAUCUUUACGGAUUAUCGUUUCCUCUUUGACGCUAUCGCCAGGGCGUUCGUUGAACGCUACCACCGGACGUUCGCCCAUUGAACAGACUAUGAAGAGCUCCCCUUUGAUGAUGUCGGCAGCGAUGGACUGGUGCGCGACAUAGAGGAAACGGUAAUCCAUAAUAUUUACGCAUUCCCUUGUCCACUUGCUCGCCCACUUAACAGAGACUAGAAAGAGCUCCUCUUUAACUGCGUCGGCAGCGAUUGACAGCCAAUCACGUUUACAACAACAAGGUUGCGGCUUCGUACAGUGGCUACAAGGGUGGUCUCGGGUUCAUCUUGAUGGACUAAGGACAAUAACUCAUUCAAUGAGCCCCUUGACCAUGCCCACUAAUCGGACCAUAGUACAAAUGACUCAUAAAUCGUGUUUAGUAUCAUAAUAAAUUUAUGUCAUAGAUCUAUUACAAAUGUUGUAUGCCAUGGUACAUGGUUAUGACGCUUUAUCCCAAUGUGAUUGGAUGAUUGUGUGUAUGAAUAUUGUAAUUCAUAAUACAUCCUACAAGUCGUGUCUUUCACCCUUAUAUGCUUCCAGUUGUAAAAUUAGACUACCUUCGAAUGUAAUUCGAGAUUUUUUAAAAUUUGUAAUGUACAAGUAAGAAGAGUGUUAGUCUACUGGAUGGUUAUUGAGAAGGGAGGAGGCCAACAACAUGCGACAACCAAGUAAUCACUUGGAGAAGAUGCAAUUCCUUAGGUAGAUCAUUCGAUCUUCUCAUUGGUUUAAGAAGAUCGUAGUAUACAGGUUAUAAUGAUGUCACAUUUCUUAUUAUGCAUAUGUGUAAUGUAUGUCAUGCUUGUAUGUGAUGCAUGUUCAAUUAGUUAUCAUAAUUAGGUCAUUUUUAUAUGUCUAUCAAAGUUUGGUACUCACUAUCAGCAUGUGGGUAAACUACGGUUGCCCACAUCCAUGACUUACUCCUAUUAAGUUUUAGGAUUCAGUGAGAGAAUCAUUUAAUUAAAAGUAUAAUUAAAUGAUGGAAAUAUGAUAUUUACUUUAGCAUUUCUUGUUGUAGAUAAAUAUGCCGUCUAGUACGUCGAAUACUCUCUCUCUCUCUUUGAUCUGUUCUUGAUAAAGAUAAACUCAAUAGAGUUAAUUUCUUGAACUGGUACAGAAACUUGAGAAUUGUUCUCAAGCAAAAGUGAAAAUUGUACAUCCUAGAGCAAGCUAUUCUUGAAUCAUCCGCCACUAUUGCUACUCGUGUUGAUAGGGAUACUUAUAAGAAACAUCAAGAUGAUGGAUUAUAUGUGUCAUGCUUUAUGCCUGUUACUAUGAACUUUGAGUUUCAGAAGCAAUAUGAGAAUAUGGAUGCUUAUGAUAUAGUUGCACAUUUUAAACAAUUGUAUUAAGGGUAGGCAAGACAUGAGAGAUUUGAAAUAUCUAAGGCUUUAUUUUAAUGUAAGAUGUAGAAAGGAAGUUUCGUUGGAACUCAUGCACUUAAAAUGAUUGGGUAUGUUGAGAACCUUGAACGAUUGAGAUUUUUUUUUUUUUGUCGAGAAUUGACCACUGACCUUUGUUCUGUAGUCGUUACUUGGGAGCUAUAGUUAAUUUGUUAUGAACUACAACAUGAAUGAAAUUGACUAACCAUUAUCUGAGAUGUUAAGCAUGUUGAGAACUGCUGAACUCAAUCUUAAGAAUGCAAAACCUAGUACCAUUUUGAUGGUGCAAAAGGGCAAAGGCAAAUGGAAGCUCAAAGGUAAGAGUAAGAACCAAGCCAAGGGCAACGACAAGUCUCAUGCAUUGAAAUCCAAAGGUAGGAGGGCUAAGGAAUUUGCUUCUAUUGCGAUGAGAUCGGACACUGAAGAGGAAUUGCAAAUUAUAUGUAGAGAAAGUUAAAAGUAUGAGAAGUGAAACUUCUGUCGCAGGCAUAUAUGUUAUUGAAGUCAAUCUAUUCAUUUUUUCUUCAUGGGUAUUAGAUAUUGACUGUGCAUCUCAUAUUUAUACAAAUGUGCAGGGUAUUCGAAAGAGUAAAUCGUUGUCAAAGGGCGAAGUGAACCUACGAGUAGGUAAUGACACAAGAGUUGUUGCUAUAGUUGUAUGAACAUAUUCCUUAUCUUUGUUCAAUGAGCUUAUCUUAGAACUUGAGGAGUAUUAUUAUGUGUUCGUUUUAACUAAGAAUAUUAUCUCUAUUUCUUGUUUAGACAAGAAAGGUUUUUUAUUUGUAAUAAAAGAUAAAUGUUGUUUUGUUUAUUUCAAUAAAAUGUUUUGUUGUAGUA